CCUACGGGGGGCUGUAGUGGGGAAUAUUGGACAAUGGGCGAAAGCCUGAUCCAGCCAUGCCGCGUGUGUGAAGAAGGCCUUCGGGUUGUAAAGCACUUUCAGUGGGGAAGAAAGCCUUGGGGCUAAUACCCUCGAGGAAGGACAUCACCCACAGAAGAAGCACCGGCUAACUCCGUGCCAGCAGCCGCGGUAAUACGGAGGGUGCGAGCGUUAAUCGGAAUUACUGGGCGUAAAGCGCGCGUAGGCGGUCUGAUAAGCCGGUUGUGAAAGCCCCGGGCUCAACCUGGGAACGGCAUCCGGAACUGUCAGGCUAGAGUGCAGGAGAGGAAGGUAGAAUUCCCGGUGUAGCGGUGAAAUGCGUAGAGAUCGGGAGGAAUACCAGUGGCGAAGGCGGCCUUCUGGACUGACACUGACGCUGAGGUGCGAAAGCGUGGGUAGCAAACAGGAUUAGAUACCCCAGUAGUC
This 465-nucleotide ribosomal RNA is filed under the name Vreelandella stevensii. RNAcentral describes it as "partial 16S ribosomal RNA". It matches the Rfam family "Bacterial small subunit ribosomal RNA", at positions 338 to 795 of the family's 1533-position model. The record is from RNAcentral. Lineage: Bacteria; Pseudomonadati; Pseudomonadota; Gammaproteobacteria; Oceanospirillales; Halomonadaceae.